Diceros bicornis minor is the source of this 297-nucleotide long non-coding RNA. RefSeq lists it as uncharacterized. The transcript has 4 exons. The record is from RefSeq and is a predicted model, not a curated record. NCBI's taxonomy places the organism in Eukaryota, Metazoa, Chordata, Mammalia, Perissodactyla, Rhinocerotidae.
GACUACCAACACUUUGGGGCGCAACAUGAAGACCCUCACAGUCAACGUCACCAUCUCCACCCUCUGGUAUUCCUCAGACAUGAUCAAAGACUAAGCCACGAUUAACUUCACUGAGAGGGGCCUGCAGAGCCUGCUGGAUCCUUGUUCAAGAACAGCAGCCUGGGCCUCUUCUACUCGAGUUGCAGACUGCUCUCCCUCAGGCCUGAGAAGGAUGGGGCAGCCACCAGUGUGGACGCUGUCUGUACCCACCACGCUGACCCCGUGGGCCACCAUGCCUCUGUGCUGGGAGCCGAGAAU